UGAUUACAAAAAAAAUAAAAAUAAAAAAUCAUAGUAAAAUUUGACAUUGAUGUUGAUAUAAAUAAUAUAAUAUAAAAAAUUAAAAAUAAAGUAUAAAUUAUAAACGUUCAAAAAUCAUCUUCAACGUUUAUCUACUGAACAAUUUAUUGCAAACAAGAAUUUUAGUGUCGAGGAUUUGAAACCGUAGGGCGCGCGGCGCCGACGUCGCAUUAAUUGCUUCGAAGAAUCUAUAUACAUUUCCUUAAUUUCUCCCAGAAGUGAGAACUGGGCCCCGAGGGUGGAACGGGACGGGUCAGGUACUCUGGCUUCUGCCCCGACGACCGGAGCGGAUCAAGGGCGACCCGCCCUAAUUAUCUACCAAAUAAAAAAAAAUAAAAAAAUUUAUAAUUCUAUAUAAACCUGAAAAAUGAAGUAAUGAAUUAUAAAUAAUUAUAAAUUAAACAUAUCAGUAGUAAGGCCACUAUAUGUCUAAAAAUCGAUCUUGGGUUUCUUUAAAGAUUUGAUUUAUAGUUUAUAAAAAAAAUAAAGAAUGAAAAUGAUGAAAAAUAAAAGAAUAUAUCAGUAAGAUAGUAAUUACUAACUUAUGGAAUAACUUAGUAUUCCGGAUGCACGGCUGCGGUUCUAGAUAUUAGAUAUUAAGUUUUGCGUCACGGGGCAGCGGGGCAUUAGAUAUUAAUAUAGGUAUAAGGUAUUAGAUAUUAAUAUUUUAUUGUUAGAUAGACCCUAGCAUAGGGAUAUAGGAUAGGUCAUAGGAUCAUAUGAAAUUAGGAACUUGCCCCGAGACCCUUUUCAUCUUUAAUUUCUCCCCUUUCAAAUUCUAAUUCAAUUAAAUAAUUCGAAAUAUUGAGUUGUGAAUUUGCUUCUCUAGCUAGCUAGCAUCAUAAGAACCCUUAAAAAUAUCUAACGUCAAUCUUUGAUUUUCUUUCAAUUUGCUUUUUCCAUCAUGUUGAUUUUCAACAUAAUAGAAGGGUUUGUUUUUCAACCUUUUGGACUCACCAUAGCACAUACACUGUUGGCGGACAGAUUGAAUUCCUUGACGCACCGGCAUGGAGGCUCCAAUGGACAUUAACGGCAGUCGCGUGUGGCAUGGUUAAUCUGGAAGGAAAAAAACAACAGAACAAAGAUAAACUGACAAUGAUCUACUUUGUAAUUGAUAUUAAAGUACCAACAUUUUUGCGUUUUAAAAUAUGAUUAAGUGGAUGGAUCUAGGACUAUAAGAUGUAGCGUUCAAUAAUAAUAAAUUGAAUAAUAUGUAGCGUUCUAAAUCUAAUCUAAUUAUUGUUGAUUAAAAAGAUAAAAUAAUAAUAAAUUUGAAAAUAACAUUUUUGUUUUAUAGCGCGUGCGUGUCUGUGCGCAGUGCAAGUUUGAAAGUUUGAAUCUUUUAUUCAGAAAACGACAAAAAUCUCAUGUGUUGUAAUCUUUGUCGUUAUGCAUGUGUUGUAAUCUUUGUCGUUAUGCAUGUGUUGUAAUAAGCUGGAAAAAAACCAAGAAUCAACAAGUGAUUGAAAUGAUUGCUUAGAAACACCCUCGUUAUUUCCAAAUGAAUCCGCUCUUACACACUUAGAUCAAGUCGUGGGUUGAUAAAUUAUUAUAAAUAGCCACUAAGAUUGAUCCAAGUAGCUAGGAUUAAAUAUUGUGUGAAUUGAAUUGGAGAAGAUAUGGUAAGGGCUCCUUGCUGCGAGAAGAUCGGAUUGAAGAAAGGCUCAUGGACUGCUGAAGAAGACAUGAUACUCAUGCUUCAUAUCCAGAGAUAUGGUCAUGCAAACUGGAGAUCUCUUCCCAGACAAGCAGGUAAUUGGUUCUUGCUUGCUUGCCUUUUAAUUUCAUCGAUCGAUCACCAAUUUAAUUGCUUAUUGAGUUAGUUGUUUAUAUAUAUGUAGGAUUGUUUCGAUGUGGAAAGAGUUGCAGACUGCGCUGGAUUAAUUACUUGAGACCUGAUCUCAAGAGAGGAAACUUCACCGUGGAAGAAGAAGAGACGAUCAUCAAGUUACACCAAAAAUUUGGAAACCGAUGGUCUGCAAUAGCGGCGGAGCUUCCAGGCAGAACGGAUAAUGAGAUCAAGAACGUAUGGCACACUUACCUCAAGAAACGAUUGAUGAAUGAUGAUAAGAAACCUGCAGUUGGAACAAUGGGAAGGAAAUCCAGAAAUAAAAAUGAUCAUAUCCCGGUGGACUUUCAGACGAAUCUCAU
This 2190-nucleotide long non-coding RNA is filed under the name Zostera marina. RNAcentral describes it as "long non-coding RNA (ZMAR_LNC005860)". Lineage: Eukaryota; Viridiplantae; Streptophyta; Magnoliopsida; Alismatales; Zosteraceae. The record is from RNAcentral.